RNAcentral lists this ribosomal RNA (743 nucleotides) under uncultured bacterium. RNAcentral's name for it is "bacterial SSU rRNA". It matches the Rfam family "Bacterial small subunit ribosomal RNA", at positions 94 to 823 of the family's 1533-position model. The record is from RNAcentral.
AGCGGCGGAUGGGUGAGUAACACGUGGGGAACCUGCCCCUAAGUCUGGGAUACCAUUUGGAAACAGGUGCUAAUACCGGAUAAUAAAGCAGAUCGCAUGAUCAGCUUUUGAAAGGCGGCGUAAGCUGUCGCUAAGGGAUGGCCCCGCGGUGCAUUAGCUAGUUGGUAAGGUAACGGCUUACCAAGGCGACGAUGCAUAGCCGAGUUGAGAGACUGAUCGGCCACAUUGGGACUGAGACACGGCCCAAACUCCUACGGGAGGCAGCAGUAGGGAAUCUUCCACAAUGGACGCAAGUCUGAUGGAGCAACGCCGCGUGAGUGAAGAAGGUUUUCGGAUCGUAAAGCUCUGUUGUUGGUGAAGAAGGAUAGAGGUAGUAACUGGCCUUUAUUUGACGGUAAUCAACCAGAAAGUCACGGCUAACUACGUGCCAGCAGCCGCGGUAAUACGUAGGUGGCAAGCGUUGUCCGGAUUUAUUGGGCGUAAAGCGAGCGCAGGCGGAAAAAUAAGUCUAAUGUGAAAGCCCUCGGCUUAACCGAGGAACUGCAUCGGAAACUGUUUUUCUUGAGUGCAGAAGAGGAGAGUGGAACUCCAUGUGUAGCGGUGGGAUGCGUAGAUAUAUGGAAGAACACCAGUGGCGAAGGCGGCUCUCUGGUCUGCAACUGACGCUGAGGCUCGAAAGCAUGGGUAGCGAACAGGAUUAGAUACCCUGGUAGUCCAUGCCGUAAACGAUGAGUGCUAAGUGU